Molecule: ribosomal RNA, 490 nt
Filed under: uncultured bacterium
Lineage: Bacteria
Description: partial 16S ribosomal RNA
Rfam family: Bacterial small subunit ribosomal RNA
Source: RNAcentral
AUUGAACGCUGGCGGCAGGCCUAACACAUGCAAGUCGAACGGUAACAGGAAGACGCUUGCUUCUUUGCUGACGAGUGGCGGACGGGUGAGUAAUGUCUGGGAAACUGCCUGAUGGAGGGGGAUAACUACUGGAAACGGUAGCUAAUACCGCAUAACGUCGCAAGACCAAAGAGGGGGACCUUCGGGCCUCUUGCCAUCGGAUGUGCCCAGAUGGGAUUAGCUAGUAGGUGGGGUAACGGCUCACCUAGGCGACGAUCCCUAGCUGGUCUGAGAGGAUGACCGGCCACACUGGAACUGAGACACGGUCCAGACUCCUACGGGAGGCAGCAGUGGGGAAUAUUGCACAAUGGGCGCAAGCCUGAUGCAGCCAUGCCGCGUGUAUGAAGAAGGCCUUCGGGUUGUAAAGUACUUUCAGCGGGGAGGAAGGGAGUAAAGUUAAUACCUUCGCUCAUUGACGUUACCCGCAGAAGAAGCACCGGCUAACUCCGUG